GGUAAGAUGGCAUUCUGAGGAGGAGCCUUGUGAUUAGGGAAUGGGAAUAAGCCAGAACAACAGCAACAACAAAAGUAGCUUGUGAGUACCUGGUACCAGAGUGCUGACUUUUUCUUACUUGUGCCUGACAAGUCAUAAUGCCUAAGAACUACCACCAGGGGUGUCACAAUGGAGAGUAACGUACACUAGAAGCACCUAAUGAGGAAUUAAGAGUGGGAUGUGUGCUGGAAAGGGUUCACACAUAUAAUCCCAGCACUUUGGGAGGCUGAGGUAGGAAGAUCGCUGGAACCCAGGAGUUCAAGACCAUCCUGGGUAAGAUAACAGCACCUCAGAGAAGAUUUGGAAAAUAAAUGAGCUGAUGAGAGCAAUUUUCUGCUUCCUGGGCCACCACAGUCUUCUUUGCUGUUUUUGAUUGCAACCAUUUUCAGAGAAGAAUCAACACCAAAGAUUACAUGUAUAUAAAUUACCUAGUAACGAGCAUGACCUCUGUCCAAGCAGAAGGCAAGCAGGGGAGAAGAUUUAGCUGCUCAACUACAGUUAUUCUCUCAACCCAAGCUAAGGUAGUUGGUGCCAUACAUUUCCCACAGGACUACUAUUUUCCAAUAUCAACAUCUUUAAUUUAUUUAUUUAUUUUUGUUUUAGUGCACUAGCUGGAAGUUUCGAUAUAAUGUUAAAUACAAAGGAUGAGAGUAAAUAUUCUUACAUUUUUCCUGGUCUUAUGAAGAAAGAAUUUUCUUUCACCAUUAAGUAUUAUGUUGUCUGUAGGUUUUUCACAUAUGUUCAUAGUGGGUUGAAGCACUCUCUUUUUAGUCCUAGCUGAGAGUUUUAGGUUAAGAAUAAGUAUUAUUUAUUAUUAUUAUUAUUUAUUUAUUAUUAUAAAUAAAAUACAUUUAUUACAUUAAA
This 903-nucleotide long non-coding RNA is filed under the name Homo sapiens (human). RNAcentral's name for it is "HSALNT0347792". The record is from RNAcentral. Lineage: Eukaryota; Metazoa; Chordata; Mammalia; Primates; Hominidae.